Molecule: long non-coding RNA, 2191 nt
Organism: Notothenia coriiceps (black rockcod)
Lineage: Eukaryota; Metazoa; Chordata; Actinopteri; Perciformes; Nototheniidae
Exons: 3
Source: RefSeq, a predicted model, not a curated record
UCUAUGUCUGUCCCUGUUGUCUUACUUCUGGAUUAACGUGUCACGUGUUCUGAAUUGACCAAUCAUAAACGAGUAUUCAACUAAGCCAUGUAAUAAUGUGAAUUAAUCAUUUUUUUAAUGUUCUUUUUUGCUUCAGACGCCCACCAAAGUCAACACAAAAGGCCUUGAGAAGAUAUUCAAACUAGAUAUUUUCCUCAUGUAUUUCCUGAGAGACAAUCCUAAAGCAUACAAAUUAUUACAGAAACAACUCUCAUGUAUCGGCUGCCAAGUAGAGUUAGAUUUUGAGGAGGAGGAGGCAGUGGUAAGGGGGGAUAUUGAAAAGGGACCUGGAGGAGCUUUUGGGGCUGCAGAGCAGUGGGAGUUACAGGUCAUCGAGUCCUUGAUCAAUUUCACUGAGAGCUACCUCCUGCUAUCAUUGUGGUUGAGCCGAAAAGAAGCCAAAUCCUACUGCAGGACCUCUCCUUUGUGACAGACGAUAUUAAAGUGUACAGAGAGGGCGGUUAUCCCAGUUUGGUUGUGGAGAAACUGAGGCUGGUGCAUGAGAAAAAUAGCAAUCCUCGGAAAAGAGCCCUGACAACCCCGGAGGAGUUACCAUUGUGGAGAAGCUGUUUCAAGCUGGUAGAGGGAAGAGUAUGAGUCGAGACAAAUGAGCGGCAAAAUACCCCAGAAGUUAAGACAACAUAGGCAGCGACAUGGUGAGACCGUUAAGAGGGGCUGACAAAGAGGAACAGUCAGGAGCCAAACACAUUUGAAGGAACUGAAGAAAAAAGUAAAAGGAAGAGCGAGUUAAAAACUAUCCCACAGCCCUGGAUUAACCUUUAUAGCGAUCCACGGUCUGUAUCCAAGUACCAGACCCGCUCCAGCAGAGACUCAGAAAAUACCUGUUUCCCUGGAGGUUGGGUCCGAGCUGGUCAUGUCCAGUUUGUCUCCGAUGCCCUCGAUGAGGCCAGGAGCCACGCUGCAGAGAAGACUUUGAUGUGGCCAAUGUCGAGGCUGCAGGGGGCGCUCUAACUGCCACUCCAGAUUCAGAUGGAUUAAAGGAAAUCCUCCUUCAAAAAGCCAAGAAACGAAGCCUAACUCUCCGAGAGUUCAGAGUAAUGUCAGCUUCAUUCCCAGGAACCGGUGGAACCCCAAACACCAAAGUACAAGACUGGUUGGCUACAGAGAAAAAUGUGAAUAGGCUUAAAGAUGGUUCUGCAUGACUACCAGAUCAACCAAAUUCGGGAACACAAGAAAGUUCUAAACCUACCGAACCUUGACAUGCUUGAAUGUUUUGAUAAGAGUUUUUAGGAAAUGAUUGGAUGAAGCAGAACAAAGUGACUUGAAAGCCUCACCUUUCCCAUACCCCUGUGUGCCUUGUGUCUGGUCCUGUCCGUCUGGUCAAAGAGGCAAGCAGGAUCUUAAUCUCAGCUCUAGCUAGUUCUGAUCUCCGACACUUUGGUUCUGGACGGACCCGGGGCUCUGCAAGUUACUUUCCAAGCAGAAGGUAAAGGUGGGCAAGAGAGUUGGUAGAGAGCUCAAUUUCAGGAUUAUCGUCAAAGGAAACAAGCAAGGUGUGGCAUUCAGCAAAUGUGCAAAGUAAACCACGAAGCAUCAGCAUGCCUUGUAACCAGCGCCUUGGCACACGGAGCGACCUCCCCCAGAUUGCGCUGCAAUACUGUUUGGAAGCAAUGUGGCCAUAAAGACGAGCCUGGAGACAAGCUUGGCAGUCUGAUAGAUGCUCAAGUGAAUGUGUUGGUUGUCCCCCAUGCUCAACAAGAACCUCACUUCUACUAAAGAUUGGUAAAUGUCUGUUUAAAAAAGGCGGGAAUGCAAUCAAGUCCAAAGUUUGGACUCGGUGGCAGCGAAUUGUACCGUUUGCUCCUGGUGAUGUCCCUGCAGGUGAGACGCGCCCUCCAUGAGUCUGGGCUGCUCAAACUCUUCUUCAUCGAGUGCUUGCCAUGGGAUGGAGUCAAGAGGCAAGAGUGUGAAGGCGCUUGGUAAUGCUAAGCAGAUGCUUGGACCUUUUGCUACCAGCAGGCAUAGCUCAGUUGCCUUUCCAGUCAUUGGACCCGGAUGUUUAAAAUACCCAAUGAAAGAGCCUUCAAGUGCUUAUGAGAACAUUUGCCACUUGGAUUAUCUGGCGUCCUCUGGAUCUCUCACCAACCAUCCAGAUCGUCAAUUAAACCAGGCUACCCCUGACUCUGAGGAG